Molecule: ribosomal RNA, 237 nt
Filed under: uncultured Actinomycetales bacterium
Lineage: Bacteria; Bacillati; Actinomycetota; Actinomycetes; Actinomycetales
Description: partial 16S ribosomal RNA
Rfam family: Bacterial small subunit ribosomal RNA
Source: RNAcentral
UGGCGAACGGGUGAGUAACACGUGAGUAACCUGCCCACAACUUUGGGAUAACGCUAGGAAACUGGUGCUAAUACUGGAUAUGUGCUCCUGCUGCAUGGUGGGGGUUGGAAAGCUCCGGCGGUUGUGGAUGGACUCGCGGCCUAUCAGCUUGUUGGUGGGGUAGUUGCCUACCAAGGCGGCGACGGGUAGCCGGCCUGAGAGGGUGACCGGCCACAUUGGGACUGAGAUACGGCCCAG